Molecule: long non-coding RNA, 2556 nt
Organism: Stegodyphus dumicola
Lineage: Eukaryota; Metazoa; Arthropoda; Arachnida; Araneae; Eresidae
Source: RefSeq, a predicted model, not a curated record
CACUCGGUUCGAAACGCCCGGACGAGCGGCUCGCUACGAGCUGCUUUGACAGAUGUAAACUGGCCUUAAACGACAUCUACGAUUCUUCCUGAUCCACUACCUCUGUUAUUCUUCAAGACGCAUCAAGUCUGUUAAUUGCAUCGGCAUGCACCUUUAACUGAUACCUGUUGAUUACACUAGCAUUGCACCUUUGAUAUAUACAAAAAGAAGUUGCACAUCUCUCUCCUAGUCUUUCCUUCGCCUAGCAGUAAAUUCAGUAGAAAAUCAUUCAAAAAAGAUUGGUCAUCUGAAGGAGAGAAUGCGGAAUAGUGCUUGAAAUUAAUAGUCUCAACAAAGAGGGAAAAAAUAUGACUGACUGUACUCUAUACAGAAUCCAAAUAUUCAUGGGUUCGAUGUGAUGGACAGUUUUACAGAACAUAUUAUUAUAGUUGCAGCAGUGCAAGAAUAAAAUUCCGCCUGUUUCACUGCACCAAGACUUUGGACUAUAGACUUUGAACUGUGGAUUUUGAAUAUAAACUUUGAACUAUGGACUUUGUUGGAACUAUAAACUGCUCUUCAUUACUACUACUUCUUUUUCGUCGCAUAUUAUGUUCGAGAUUACGUACAUAUUUUAAGGAGUUAUGUCAUAUAUUAUGUUUAAAAUUUUUGUAUUACAUUCAAAAUUCUGUACAUUUAUUAUUAUGCUCCAAAUUUUUGCAUUACAGUCCAAACUAUGAAUCAUUCCAAAUUAUGUAUUAAUUCUAAAUUAUGUAUUCAUUCCAAAUUAUGUAUCUAUUUUGUUAAUAUUAAUAAACGGCUGGGGUCACAUGGAUAAAUGGAUCACAUGGCGCUAAACCAAUUAACCAAAUGGUAAAGUUUACCCGGCCAAAUGGUAAAGGCCCGUCUUCCCCGUUCCUAAAUCCUAACAAAGUCAGUGGAACUUCAACUUAAAUACUGCUCUUUCUCAUUUGCAUUAAUUGCCAUUCUAAAAGCACAUUCUGGAAGGAAAUUGUAAGCUGAAAUUAGGUGAGAUAGGAAAGUUAUCUUUAACUAAAGAUAACUGUUAAAAAUUUAGGAAAAACCUUACAAUGUUAUAAGGAAGUUUUCUGUUUAAUUGCGAUUUUGCGUGGUCUAAUCUUUAAUUCACUUUUCAUUCGAUUGUGUUGCAGUUUAGAAAAACGUGAGAUAUUAGUCUUGCAUAUUUAAUCUGUUUGUUAUUAAUUAACAAAGUAAACUAUUUAAAAGCAAUAAAAGCGUAUCUUAUUUUAUUUAUUUUUUUACUUUUUAAUCUAAUUGAUUUCAAUAAAAAUCCAUUUAAUUCAAGAUCUAUCUAAUUAAAAACAUUAAAUAUUUUUAUACAAUUACAUUACAUAUUCUUCACUUUUACUUAUAAAUAUAUAACGUUCCCAUAUUCACACAUAUUCCCUAAUCGCAUAUUCAUCUAAUACCCUAUAAAAUAUUUCGCUUUUCCACUUGUGCCUUCCUAUCGAUAAUCCUUACUGAAAACUUAUAUUAAAAUUUAAAACAGACCUUUUGGACGUUCUUUAAAAUCUGAACUCUUUCAGUUUUUUUUUGUUCUUCGUCUUCGCACAACUUUUGCGUGAAAAUUACCCGACCUAGGUUUCAGUAAAGCCUGCAGGAAAAUUAUUAUGAUCUGGAACUUUAAUAUUGAUUCCACACAUUUGAAAAAGAAUUAGAGGAAAUAACAGAAUUCUUACAGAAAACUAUAAAAUAGUUCAGAAACAUUGUUUUAAAACUUCCGAACAAAAUUUGACAUGCUUUGAAUAUUAUUGCCUAAUAGAAACGAAGCAUAGCAAUACUUAAUGAGAUUAAUUUUGCGAAAGAUUCGAUAUUUGAAAAUUCAAAAAACCACUCGUUUUUCGUCAUAAGAAUCCUUUGAAUCCUAUCUAAAAGAUAGUUAAAUGUUUCAACGAUAUCUUUGGAAAGAUUAGUUUUUGACAUACUAUUUAAGUGCUCAUUGGAUUACAAGGAUAAUACUAAAUAAUAUAUAAUAAAGGCUAUCCUGUUUCACGUGAUUAUCUUUAUACAAUUACUGACAUCGCAAUUAAGAAAAUUUCAAGACCCUUUUCUCCAUCAGCUUUAAGUAUUCAAAUUCCAUCCACUGUUUUUCAUUCAUUCCUAAACGUAACCUUCUUCUUUACAAAUGUUUCUAAAAAUAUGAUUUUAUAGUUUUCUUCAAACCUAUGAAUAAAAGGAAGUUCUCAUUUAUAUAAGUCAAAAUACUGCACCUUCAUUCAUGGAGGUAUUAAAAAAGUAUUUUGAGUAUCAUUUUUGCGUGUGUAUGUAAAGUGUAUAGAAAAGUACGGAAAUUAAAUGAAACAAACCCGUCUUCAGUUGCUGUUCACUGCUGGGAUAAAAACCACAAUUUUAGAUUUACGGAAGCAAUUAGUUUGUUAAGACUUUGCUUGCACUAACUCGUUUUUCAUUUUGGAUUUCGUAGAAGAUUCAGAAAUAUUUCUGCGCAACAUUCUAGUUAAUGAUGUGUUCAACUUUUACAAUGUGUAUCCUAACAACAACACUUUGACGAAGUUCAAUAAAGUCCAAAGAAACUGCGAA